RNAcentral lists this ribosomal RNA (433 nucleotides) under uncultured bacterium. RNAcentral's name for it is "partial 16S ribosomal RNA". It matches the Rfam family "Bacterial small subunit ribosomal RNA", at positions 29 to 507 of the family's 1533-position model. The record is from RNAcentral.
AACGAACGCUGGCGGCAUGCCUAACACAUGCAAGUCGAACGAGACCUUCGGGUUUAGUGGCGCACGGGUGCGUAACGCGUGGGAACCUGCCCUUAGGUUCGGUAUAACUCCCCGAAAGGGGUGCUAAUACCGGAUAAUGUCUUCGGACCAAAGAUUUAUCGCCUUUGGAUGGGCCCGCGUUGGAUUAGCUAGUUGGUAGGGUAAAAGCCUACCAAGGCGACGAUCCAUAGCUGGUCUGAGAGGAUGAUCAGCCACACUGGGACUGAGACACGGCCCAGACUCCUACGGGAGGCAGCAGUGGGGAAUAUUGGACAAUGGGCGAAGGCCUGAUCCAGCAGUGCCGCGUGAGUGAUGAAGGCCUUAGGGUUGUAAAGCUCUUUUACCCGGGAUGAUAAUGACAGUACCGGGAGAAUAAGCUCCGGCUAACUCCGUG